Molecule: long non-coding RNA, 1747 nt
Filed under: Callithrix jacchus (white-tufted-ear marmoset)
Lineage: Eukaryota; Metazoa; Chordata; Mammalia; Primates; Cebidae
Description: lncRNA (ENSCJAG00000078186.1)
Source: RNAcentral
UGCUUGCCCCCGUAAGACGGCCUGAUGUGCACACCUGCCCACAGUCCUGUGCCCAGGUUAGGAGGUCAGGUGAGGAUGGCGCUCAGGUGAGGUUCCACAUUAACUCGUCGUUCCUAGACUUGAAAGUUUCAAUCCGGGGAAAGCCGGGGCAGAAGCAGUAAACGCCUCCUUCGUGUUGCUCCCCUGCUGCAUGGAGAUGACCCACAGAUGGUCCUCGUCUCCUGCCCACACCAGGAAGGUCUUACUGUCCUUUUGCCAGAUGCAACGGGCUUCGAGCCAGGCCAUGCCCGAGACCAGCAACAGUGGCGGCACCGGCUCGUGGAAGAGGAAGUGGCUGUCAAUGAGCUGCUGUUGCUCCUCCGCAUCCGUCCAGCUCUUAUCCGGGCCCUCCAGGUCGCGGUCCAGGCUCGAGGGCAUCCACCGCGGGUCCCAGCGGAGGCAAAAGCCACGUCCUUGUGCACGCUGUGCCCUCACCUGCAGACCAUCGUCAAGGCAAACCACACCCCAGCAUGUGUAGGGGCCAAGGAGACUCACUUCACCCGUGGAAGGUUCACUGAAAAACCAGCUCACAAAAGGUAGGUUAUCUGGAGAAGCAUGACAUGUAUGCACAGGAGCCUUCCAAAUGAAGACCCAAAGAUGCAGAGGAAGUUGUCCAUCUGUAUUCUUAGCCAAAGUCUGGACAGCCAUGUAGAAAUAGGAUUGGACAAAGGGUCUGAGCUAAUGCUAACAGAGUGGGGAAACGCGGCAAGGUCUGUUGGUCUGGAUUCUUCUUGGCCUCCUGAGCAGCAUUCCUUCCCUCUAGGUAUAAGGCAGGAUCCUCUCUGGAAUAGGCAUCUUGUAACCUACAGUCAAACAGGGUAGGCCAGUUUUUUCACAGAAUAUUUUUAGGUUUUACAGCUGGCUUUGGGGAAAAAGGGUUCUGGUGUCUAUGACUUGCCUUGAGGAAGAAGGAUCCUAGUUUCUAUAACUAGUUUUGGGGGAGAAUGGGACUGAGAGACAGGAGGGCAGGAGAAGCCCGGCAAAAACUUUUUGCUUCUGAGGCUGCUUCUGCAGCCUUCAUCUCGGGGUGUUUUCUGAGCUCCAACACAUCCAAAGGGGUGAGACCUGAAAGUUGUUCCUUCCAGACUAAGAUGUGCAAACUGAUGAAAGGGGUCGCUUCAAGCCACAGCAUCACUGUCCUAGGCCAAAGGAAUACUGUCGUUUGUUGAACACUUGCUGCAUUAGGAAUUUCCCCUACUCUCUCCUAAGGAUCAUGAACUCUCAAUAAUGGCAAAGACAUCUAGAUCUUGUUCCAUGCCAGUCAGCAUUCUAAGUACUUUAUGUGUAUUAAAUAAAUUUGAUGUCAGUAAAUUUAUGAAGGUGAGACUGUUAUCUCCCAUUGUACAAGUGAGGAAACUGAGGCACAGAGAGAUUUGGUAACCUACCCAAGGUCACAUACCCUUAAAUGGUAAAGCCAUUGUUAGAACUAAGGUGAUUUGGCACCACAGUACACAUUCUCAACCACUGUGACAUGCCGCCUCUUUUUGUUGUUGUUAAUUCAAUUUUUUAAAAACUAAGGUGCGGGCCAGGGAUGGUGGCUCAUGCCUGUAAUCCCAGCACUUCGAGAGGCCAAGGUGGGCGCAUCACUUGGCCAACCUGGCCAGCAUGGCGAAACCCCGACUCUACUAACAAUACAAAAAUUAGCUGGGCCUGGUGGCAGAUACCUAUAAUCCCAGCUACUUGGGAGGCUAAGGCAGAGAGAAUUGCU